This 362-nucleotide long non-coding RNA is filed under the name Lupinus angustifolius (narrow-leaved blue lupine). Its description in RNAcentral is "long non-coding RNA (LANG_LNC001688)". The record is from RNAcentral. Lineage: Eukaryota; Viridiplantae; Streptophyta; Magnoliopsida; Fabales; Fabaceae.
UGUUCUGCUCAUGCUUUGACUGGAACAAUGCUUUAGCCAGGAAGAGACAUUUUGUCGCUUUCUCACGCCACCAUAGAAGUAUAUUAGGCUUAUACCUGUUGCAUAACAGAUGAUAGCUCAACGUUCAAAUGAUAUGUUGAGCUCUGUAACAGUUUCUCCACUAUUUAGGCGGUGUAACAGUCCUCUGAUAAAUAUUUAUAACUCUACAAGUGCUACCAAUGUCAUGUCUUAUUAGGGUCAUCAUUUCCUCAGUUAGAUCAGGUAUGAUCGAUAACUGCAUGAAGUAGAUCUUAUUUGCCUAAUAUUGAAUCGUGUUCUUAUGAAUUCAUCGACUCAUGACCAGUCCAAGAACUAGAAUCGAA